CGAGAUAAUAAAUUGGAAGAAUUGUCAGAGUAGAUGUGGGUUGAUAACAUCAGAUUUGGAAAAUCUAUUUCUCCAACGAAACGAAAUUUGUCCUUAUUUAAUUCUUAUUUUUCAAGUUUGUUUCUGCAGUUGAAAUUAGGUAAGAGAGUGAGAUCUUGGCUUUAUCUUGGUAUCCUGGAAACACUCUAGACACUCAUAAUGAAAUGUUUUGAGUCUAAUUAACAGCUCUUAAACUUACACCAACUCUCGAACUUACCAUAAAAGAUGUUUUAAGUGAGUAAGAUACUCUUAUUUUCACAAGACAUAGCAGGUACUGAUCUUCGAGUGUAUAAAGAUGUAUUUCUUAAGCGAGAAUGUGGAGGAUGUGUUCGUAUUAUUUCCGUUGCAAUAAGAUAUGUAUUUUCAUGGAAUUCAAAAUACGAAAAAAUUAAUUCAAAAACAAAGUGUUCUUAAAAAUAAUUGCAUAUUAUGCCGCAAAAAACAUUAUUUAAAUAGCAAAAUAUUUUAAUAAGUAUAGUUGGAUUUCUAAUUUGUUUGUAUUAUUAUAACCAGUUUGAAUUGACAAUUACUAGUGUGUCUUGAUGAGUUGCUGUUAAAAUGUAUGCUUAACUUUAAGCAACUCUUUAAAAAAUUUGAAAAUUCCAAGUGACAUUCGAGUUAAAGGUAAAUCAAUAGAUGUCAUUUCGUCAAUAAUUGAUCAAUAGCUGCAUUAAAAAUUGUUUUGAGAUAUUAUUAAAAUUUUCAAGAAAUAAUAUGAAAGAACGGAGAAUUUAAAAAAUCUAAGUCAUGUAUUUUUUAUUCAUAAUCAUUUUUUUCUUUUCUUGAGCCUUAUUUUAUAUAUUUAAUCCUUUAACCUAAAUAUUUAUAGCUAGAUUCAUAAGAUGAAGUUUUGUUUUUAAAUAACCUUAGUUAUAUAAUUUUGUAUUGUAAAAUUUAGACAUUAAAACAACAAGCGUUCAAGGACAACUUCGUUUUUAAUCGAGUAUGUACCUACGAAUACCGAAAAUAAAUUUAACUAUAACAUUCCAGUACAAAAUU
Long non-coding RNA from Eupeodes corollae, 1038 nucleotides. RefSeq lists it as uncharacterized. The record is from RefSeq and is a predicted model, not a curated record. The transcript has 2 exons. NCBI's taxonomy places the organism in Eukaryota, Metazoa, Arthropoda, Insecta, Diptera, Syrphidae.